UGGGGAAUAUUGGACAAUGGGGGGAACCCUGAUCCAGCAAUGCCGCGUGUGUGAAGAAGGCCUGAGGGUUGUAAAGCACUUUCAGUGGGGAGGAGAUAUGCCAGGUUAAGAGCUAGGUAUAAGGACGUUACCCACAGAAGAAGCACCGGCUAACUCCGUGCCAGCAGCCGCGGUAAUACGGAGGGUGCGAGCGUUAAUCGGAAUUACUGGGCGUAAAGGGUGCGUAGGUGGUUGAUUAAGUUAUCUGUGAAAUCCCUGGGCUUAACCUGGGCAGGUCAGAUGAUACUGAUUGACUCGAGUACGGGAGAGGGUAGUGGAAUUUCCGGUGUAGCGGUGAAAUGCGUAGAGAUCGGAAGGAACACCAGUGGCGAAGGCGGCUACCUGGCCUGAUACUGACACUGAGGCACGAAAGCGUGGGGAGCAAACAGGAUUAGAUACCCCCGUAGUCC
This 449-nucleotide ribosomal RNA is filed under the name uncultured bacterium. RNAcentral describes it as "bacterial SSU rRNA". It matches the Rfam family "Bacterial small subunit ribosomal RNA", at positions 355 to 796 of the family's 1533-position model. The record is from RNAcentral.